Molecule: non-coding RNA, 84 nt
Organism: Candidatus Parvarchaeum acidophilus ARMAN-5
Lineage: Archaea; Nanobdellati; Candidatus Parvarchaeota
Source: Rfam
GCUGGGUUGGCUGAGCGGUUAAAGCGCUGGCCUUGAGAGCCAGUUGGGAUUUUCCCUGCGUAGGUUCGAAUCCUGCACCCAGCG